This 1069-nucleotide long non-coding RNA is filed under the name Oncorhynchus kisutch (coho salmon). RNAcentral describes it as "lncRNA (ENSOKIG00005000602.1)". The record is from RNAcentral. Lineage: Eukaryota; Metazoa; Chordata; Actinopteri; Salmoniformes; Salmonidae.
CCUGUUUCUGCUGUGAGACUGGUGGCCAACAACUUUUGGAAUUCAAAAGCUCUGUCAGUCUGUUUUGAUUUUUCUCUGGCUCCUCCCUCUCUUACCGCUGGCUGAAUGGCAACUCCGAAGUCACAGCCAGUAAUGGAAUUCAGCUUAGUGAUGGGAACAGUACUCUCACCAUAGUCAGUGUGACUCGAUACAACGAUGGGCCAUUUAGCUGUAAUGCUUUCAGCACCGUCAGUAAUGGAACCACUAAGCCUCUACAUCUCAGUAUCAGCUGUCUACUCUGACCAUGUCCUGCUCUGCCCAGUCCAACCCUCAGGCUGAGUUUCAAUUUUGCUUUCAAUGGGAACCAUCUGAAUGGGAUAAAUCCAGAUCUGAAGCUAUACAGUGCUGUGGAGAGCCAGAGUGGCCUAAGCUCCUGCCUGGCUUUCAACAACAGAACCAUGAGCUACAGCAACAUCACCAGACAGAUCACCAUCAGCUGUGGUUCAGUGUCAGUACAGCUGGGGAUUUCUGGACCUGUCAUCCUGAGAAGGAACAUUUCUGCUGUAAUUGCAUCCUGAUGCAGAAUAUAUCUCUCAUUCCACUAUCAUGCUGUCGAUGGAAUUAUUUCUCUGAACAUUUUAGCAAAACAUCUUUCAUUGUCUUUUUUCAUUAUUGAAGAUUUAUUCUUCCAGAUUAGUAUCACAAUGAAUAAUCAUAUAUGAAGAAUCAUAUAUCAUGUACAGUAUUUCAACACCUCUCAGUACUGUAAUUUGCUCGAGACCUGGUGGAAUAACCAAAGUAUAUCAAGCAUUCUUGUUGGAAUAUGACUCUGAUUUGAAUAUAAAGUUCUUAAUUGUUUUGAUAAAGUUGUUUUAAACAAACUAUUAUUUUCAAUAAAUCUGAAUGUUCAAUAAUGGUACACAGUGCAUUCAUUCAACAUGUUCUACAGUAUAUGGAAAGGAAAGGUAUGUGCUGAUUUAACAGAACAAUACUAACACAUCACUCCUACUCCUUAUUGUUUUGUGCUGACUGAAAACAAGUCAUAAAGCAUGCCUCAUUUGAGACAGUAUAGAUUAUGAUCAAAUAAGUU